AACGAACGCUGGCGGCAUGCCUAACACAUGCAAGUCGAACGAGACCUUCGGGUCUAGUGGCGCACGGGUGCGUAACGCGUGGGAACCUGCCUUUAGGUUCGGAAUAACUCAGAGAAAUUUGAGCCUAAUACCGGAUAAUGUCUUCGGACCAAAGAUUUAUCGCCUUUAGAUGGGCCCGCGUUGGAUUAGCUAGUUGGUGGGGUAAAGGCCUACCAAGGCGACGAUCCAUAGCUGGUCUGAGAGGAUGAUCAGCCACACUGGGACUGAGACACGGCCCAGACUCCUACGGGAGGCGAGCAGUGGGGAAUAUUGGACAAUAGGGCGGAAAGCCGUGAUCCAGCCAUGCCGCGUGCA
This 354-nucleotide ribosomal RNA is filed under the name uncultured bacterium. Its description in RNAcentral is "bacterial SSU rRNA". It matches the Rfam family "Bacterial small subunit ribosomal RNA", at positions 29 to 405 of the family's 1533-position model. The record is from RNAcentral.